AGGGGUAUAGCUCAGUGGUAGAAUGUGUGCUUGGCAUGCACAAGGUCCUGGGUUCAAUCCUCAGUACCUUCA
This 72-nucleotide transfer RNA is filed under the name Camelus bactrianus (Bactrian camel). It matches the Rfam family "tRNA". From Rfam's summary of the family: Transfer RNA (tRNA) molecules are approximately 80 nucleotides in length. Their secondary structure includes four short double-helical elements and three loops (D, anti-codon, and T loops). The record is from Rfam by way of RNAcentral. RNAcentral also lists the same sequence under 2 other names. Lineage: Eukaryota; Metazoa; Chordata; Mammalia; Artiodactyla; Camelidae.